Molecule: unclassified non-coding RNA, 434 nt
Filed under: Hevea brasiliensis (rubber tree)
Lineage: Eukaryota; Viridiplantae; Streptophyta; Magnoliopsida; Malpighiales; Euphorbiaceae
Source: RNAcentral
AAAAGAGGCCAAUAUAAUUUAUGAACAAAGACUACAGUUGCUCACGUAGUUGAAGGCUAUUGGAACAAGUAGAGGUGUGAGAACUGACCUGUAAGUUAGGUCUCUUACAUGAACAAUCUACGUUGUAAUCCUGUCCUGGAUCAUAUAAUUAUACAAAUCCGGGAAUUCAAUUAUUGGUUAUUUCAGAUAAAUAUACAAAACCCGUAAUAAUGACGACACUAUCCAAGCAUCAGGCAGAAGAAGAAGAAACACUCUGCACUUGCCAUGAAGGCGCCAGCAUGAUAGGCCUUCCUUUCCAACCAAGGAGGAGAACCAUUUUCACUGGCUAGAAUAUAUCCCUCACAGCCAUAAACAGAGAGCAUCAUUCCAGCUUGGCUCAUGCACUUUAACCCAACUACUUGAAACCCUGUUCUGCCUAAUUGCCUUCUCCAUUG